This is a long non-coding RNA of Dermochelys coriacea (leatherback sea turtle), 6256 nucleotides long. RefSeq lists it as uncharacterized. The record is from RefSeq and is a predicted model, not a curated record. The transcript has 7 exons. NCBI's taxonomy places the organism in Eukaryota, Metazoa, Chordata, Testudines, Dermochelyidae.
CGCCCAGUAGGCUCUGCCCAGGACCCAGUCCCGUGCCUGCCGGAGGGGCAACGCUUGGCUAGGGCCGGGGGCUGUAGGCUGGGAGCCGCCCGGCCCUGCUGAGCUGCCCGCGUUCGCAGACAUAGGCGCUGCCAGAAGCUAAUCAUCAAGAGCAUUGGUUCCAGAUGAUGCCCUUUGAAAAUUUUGAAUAUUGUCGAAUGGGGAUGAGUGGCAGUCCUUUUACCCAGUCAUGGCAUGGUGGUACAGAAGUCUCACAAACUGUUGUAAAACAGCAUCUCACCUAAAGUUUAGAAAUACUCUGAUUCCAAGGUGUUUCUUAACCAGACAAUGAGAGUGAGUUUUGAACAUAUUCCUCCUCUCUCCAAUGUCAAAUAAGUGCUGUUUGAGGCACUAUGGAUGGAGAUCAGGUGGGCAUAUUCCACAUCUUUCCAUUUAGAAGAAAAGGAGCUGCUGACAGGAUAUUCUGCAGAAGGCUGCUCAACUUUGGAAUUUGCUCAUGUCCUACAGGAGAUGCGUGAUGGCAGGCAUUAGAGGCGCUGGAUCCUUUCUGUCUGUAUUCAUAGUAUGUGCUUUAGCAAGCAGACAAUCCAUUCAUCAGAAAAUUGGUUGGCAUAUGGAACUCUGCUAGAAGCCAAAAGAGUCGGUAUGUGCCAUACUGAAGCCCCCCUCCUACUCAGCUCUAUUCUGCAGGACCAAACAAUUAUGGAGGUGUAAAAGCAAUUCUUAUUAGCAGUUACUCCAACCAAGAGCACAGUAUUAAUGACAAAUCCUUUCAGUCACAGACAUGCAAACUCAGGACAAACAUUUGUUUGGACAUUUACGCUCUUAGCGAUCACAUUUUAUGCUCAUAGAUAAUUGCUUGAAUGCUUACUCUUCUACCCACCGGUUUUUAUUGUGUGUUGCCAGGUGAAACAGUUUCAUUGGAGUAGAGAUGCCAAGUUCGUAGGGUCAUUUUAGAAGUCUGAGUAAUGGGUCUGGUAUAAGGAAGGAAUUGGUUAGCACACGAGACCAGGAUCCAGGACCCCUGGGUUCUCAUCUCAGCUCUGCUACUGAUUUAACCUUUCUGUAUCUCACUUUAUCAGUCUGUAAACCUGUGUAUAAUACUUGCCUACUCUGAUGCUUGCCAGGGGUACCUAAGGCUGUGAGGCACCUUGCUACCCCUGCCCUUAGCACAAGGAAGCCUUGUCCUGUGUCUGCCAUGUGUCAGCUCCACAACUCCACUGUCCACAGGCAACACAAGCACUUCCCUCUAGGUCUCGCAGGCCUUGCUAUCACUCCACAGGUUAGUGAUGGGCACAUUCCAACCCUCAAGCCCUCUGAACAUCUGGAGUGUCCAGCCCCUGGGCCACUGGAUGCUCACAGUAUUCACAGUUUCACUGCUUCCAAUGAAACAAUACACCUCAGCUUACCACUUGCACCUCAGAUCACUGCUCUGCUUUACACACAGCACUUAGAUCUAUUUAUAGUGAAAUCAAGCCUCAGUUUAUUUAACAGAGCAUAGAGAAUCAAGUGGUAGCAAGUAGAAGUAUGCAUUCUGGAGCCUAUACUUAAUUAACCAGAUACUCUCAUGGCUUGUACGAUAUUGCUCACCGAAAAUUCGUGCAGCGCUUUUCAGUCAGGCUGGCUGUGAUUCUCCUUUCCUGAGACAAACUUCACUGUCGGUUUGCCUUCUAAGUGAAGAAUUCAUUGUGUCUUACUGCACUCCAAGAAACAGCAGACAUGUCCUUUGUCUUUAUUCAUAUACAGGACACCCCCUUGUUGUUUGUUUGUUCCUGUAGAUUUCUUCUUGUAGAUUUCACAUUCACUCAGUUCACACCUGGCUGCGUAUACAAAUAGGCAUGCAGUGUGAGGCACACAGUACACAAAUGGCCAGACAGGCAGAUGGGUGUCAGUUACCUUCUACCUGAAAGGAACAUUUCAGAGGUAUGUCACCUCCUGGUGACCUGCCUUAACUCCAAGACCUUAAGACCAUAAUUUUCAAUAUAGAUACAUUACUUCUUAAAUAUUAUCUAUGCAUACAUUUCAUAAUGAUUAUGAUGACCAACUGGAUCUUGGCUCUUGGUAGAGACCUGGCAUGCCCCCUUUUGGUGAACUAUUAUGCAAAUAUCCAACCCAUGGAAUCCUUGUAAAACCCUAUGCACCUUCUGUGUCCUCUGCCAAAUUAAUUUGGCAUCAAGUGGUCAUUGGGUCACACCUACUUUACAGAGAGGUUGUGAACCUUAAGUGAUGUUUGUAAAUUUCCGUGAGCUCUUUGGAUGAAAGACACUACAGAAGUGUAUAUUAUUAUUAUUACUAUUAUUUAUUAGUUUAUUAUUGCUACCAUUUUAUAAUGCCUCAUCUUUGCAGCAGCAGCAGUUGGAUUCCCAGGCCAUAUUAAUGAUAAAUUUUACUUUCUACAAUUGACCACCUCUUGAUGCUUAAUAUUUUUAUUUAUAUAUUUAUUUCAGUUUCUAACAAAGCCAUGCAGUGCUUUCCAAUAGUUUAUUGGAAUGCGCAUGUACAUCAAAUAAAAUAUUUCACAUACACAUUUUCAGAACAUUAAUAUAAAAGUCUAACCCAUAACAAAAUCAAGCCAUUCAGCUAAACCAAUGGAAUAAACAAAUCCCACUUUCUGCUUCAAAGCUGAUUUCUUCACCUGUCCUCACCCACCUUGAAUGUGGGGGGGGAAGAGAGACUUUGCAACCUACUUUUAUGGAAUGCCCAGGGCACUUAAAGCUGCUUUCCAUUGUCAAUAUGAUGGCCAGGAUCUGUAAAACCAGUGCGGGUCACGUCAGACUCAGGCUCCAGUCUUGGUUUCCUGCUCUGUUCUUCCUCCAUGAGACAUAGAUCGUGCUUAGACGUGCAUUGCCAAAGCGCGUCCCAAAGACUAUCAGUUUUUCUCUCUCAAAUUCUCUUUUCCAAACUGCCACCUUCUUCUAGAACUUCCCCUGUGUUCCCGAAGCAUCGCUCACUGACUGCUACUGUUUUCUAGGACCACCUUCCCAGUUCCUGUUAACUUGUUCUAACACUGAUUAACUGCUAAAGGUGUAAUCAGCUCAUAGAAGUUAUAGAUAUGGGUAAUGGUCAGGUAGAUUAACGACCAUGAAUAAUAUCAGUUGUUAGUUAUGGUUAAUGAAAUGUCAACAACGUUGGACCAUCUCACAAGAUAUUAAAUCAUUGGAUAAAUAAUUUAAAUUAGACAAUUUUUCACAUUGUUGAGGAUCUGUGUUUAUACACAGCAAAGUGAUAUCUGUUUAGAAAGCUGAGCUUUUUUAGCAAUAUUACUGUUAAUGAAUUUGUAAGCCAACACAGCUUUUUAAAAAAUAGCAACCAUCAGUCGAAUGGAUUACUAUGAACGCUAGCCAACUAUGCUUCAGAUUAGGAGAUCAAAACUAAAAAGAGAGAGAGAGCCAACAACAUUUCUAUAAUAUUUGCUGUCUCUCCAGUAGUGGCUUACAGAGAAGAAGAAAAGCUCUUUGUAUCUGGAAAGCUUGUCUCGCUCACCAACAAAAGUUGGUCCAAAAAAAGAUAUUACCUCACCCAAUCUGUGUAUCAGAGUAAAAGAAAGUCAGUUAUCUGGCUGGUGAAACUUGCCCAUAUGCUCAGGGUUUAGCUGAUCGCCAUAUUUGGGGUCGGAAAGGAAUUUUCUUCCAGGGCAGAUUGGAAGAGGCCCUGGAAGUUUUUCGCCUUCCUCUGUAGCAUGGGGCAUGGGUCACUUGCUGGAGGAUUCUCUGCUCCUUGAAGUCUUUAAACCACAAUUUGAGGACUUCAUUAGCUCAGACAUAGGUGAGAGGUUUUUUGCAGGAGUGGGUGGGUGAGAUUCUGUGGCCUGCGUUGUGCAGGAGGUCAGAUUAGAUGAUCAUAAUGGUCCCUUCUGACCUUAAUAUCUAUGAAUCAGUUAUUUUUAGGAAAAUGUACAUUGCAUUGGAAACACAGAGAAAAUUAACCAGGGGACAUAUUUAUCCCUGAUCUAACUGUACUGAAAUCAAAAGGCAUGAAUUUGGUUCAUAUAUCAGACUUCAGACAGAUCUUACAUAUAUAUCAAAAUUCCCACACGCCUCUUCCACUGCCUCACUGAUAUGCAUCCUGCAUAUCAUUAGCCACAUCAUUCACACUUUGUUAUGCUCAUCAUUUAUUGUGACCUCUGAAUUAAAGGCACAACUAACUUCUAUAUAAAACACAUCAGUAGUGAGAGCUAUGUUGACAGCUUGUUACUGAACAGCCUACAGCAGGAGUUGUGACUUAGAUGUGGAAGGUGAGUGCAGCUGGAUGGUCCUUAGUGCGUGACUUGAGAGAGAAUGGGUCCCAUUGUGGUCUCAGAUAAGCUUAGAUCCAUUGAUUUCACUGGAGAAAGUCAGAUCAGAAUCAGGCGUAAUAUCUCUGAUUACAUCAGAGAACAUUGUUAGACUCCUGUGAUAUACAAUAAGGCAAUCGAGGUCCUGCCUCACCUUCUGCACUGUGACUGUCCAGGGAAGUGCAUGCUCCUUUGAAAGUAUUUAGCCAUUCCUGCACCUUCAUGUUCUGCCUCAUAGAUCCUGGAGGUGUUUUGCUUGCAGGAAGAAUGUCUCCAGCCAUGACGGCGGGUGUGGUGUCUGUCCACCAGUGCUGCAGCGGUGCUGACACAAUUUGAUGCUUAAGCUUUACAAGGACCUUCGGGAAAACUGGAACACUGAAAAAGCCUGAUUUUUCUACACAGUGCACAUUUGCUGUCCCUCCUGUUGUCUGAGCAGUAUUAUUGUGACAUCAGAGAUAAUCAGCCACUCCGCACUCACUCCCAUCACUUCAUUUGCACACCUGGGGAGAGUCACUAUUGCCCUGGUUGCACUGGCAAUGGCUGCCUUUAAUAAUUGAUUUACCUCUGACUGCCCAGAACAUGAUUACAGGAGGGACUAUAAGGAAAGCAGGCUGAGCUUGGCUAAGCACCUUCUGUGCUCCUCUAGGUUUGUACUGGGUGUCCAUUAAAGCUGCAAGAACCAGUGUGUGACCCCGCAAAAAUACUCACUCUCGUUCUCUGUCUGCCACAACUCCUACCAUCCUGGGGGAGAAACCUGCAGAAAUCAGCCAUGGACACAGGAAGAAAGGAAAGAACUUCAGCGGGAGUUUACCUGAGUGCGGAGUCAAGCCUGGACUCUCUGCAUGCUGUUUCUGUACUAGUUUAAUGAAAUAUGGGAAUUGAUAGAACGUGUUAGAAACUUCAAACGUCUUACUUCUUCCUCCUGCCCCAUCCAGGUCUCUUCCCAACUUUUCCAAGUUAUUAUCCAAGAAUCAUCAGAGAAAGCCCAAGCAUCCCUUUUGCUCCCACUUUUGCUUCUGUGUGUGGGGGAACAGCACCACUGCAGAAGAUUCAUGCAUUCCCCUUGGAUGAGUCUGAUUUAUCCACUGAAUCUGUGAUCAGUCAGAAAUCCACAGCUCCAUGAUAUGGUGUGGAACUGAUGAUCGCUUUUCUGUUCUUCACACUACUGGAAAAUUUGAUUUGGGCAACCUCGUAUUACAGAGACACAUGCUCUCCAUGGGGCUGAGUGGAAUACUAGGCAGUCAUGACAGUACCAGCCAUCGUCUCCAGAGACCUUUAAUCCCUGACAAAUCUUUUCUUCUUGAAAGAAACUGUGGGUGGUCUCCCUUUUUUCUAAUUUCGGUAAAUUUAGUACAUCACUUUCUAGUUAUGCAGCUGAUGCUCAUGUUUGUAUGAAUAGCUAUUAAAAAAAGGAAAGAUCAGAUGUUUGUUGUUUCAUUUCCAACAUAAAUCAAACUUUGUAUUCACAUUUCAAUUCUAGUUUAGCCCCAGGAAUAGCUUUAGUAUUGCUAAGUGUCUGGAGACUAUUGACUACAGAGACAUGUUUUUAAGCAGGCUAUAAUAGUUUCUACAGCUGUUAACAGUUCAUAGAAGAAUGGCAGCAUUAUUCAUCAGUGUUUAAAAUGUGCAUGACUUGCAUUGCACAGAAGUCAGAUUUAGAGAAUGUCAGAAUUUUUUUCUGAAACUCUGCCAGGAAAGUCUUCAAUAACUAGAGAAAUUCUUUUCACUGGUGAAAUCAACAUGCAGCACAUUGUGUUGUUAUAAUUGCUUAGAGCUCACCAUGAAAGUUGUCUUUGUAUGUGUGGAUGUACGGCUAGUACUGUUUUGUUUUUAUUUAUUCUGCAUUCUUUAUUUUAAUGUUCUUUCCUUUUUUCCAGACCAGAAAGAUUGUUAUUGAGCUCUUCACAGAGCUGAAAUAAUGCUGUGUGUUAAAAAAUGUUAACAAUUUGAAGAAGUUAUAAAAAUUUAUAAGUUGGAUGAGUA